Molecule: ribosomal RNA, 1429 nt
Filed under: uncultured bacterium
Lineage: Bacteria
Description: bacterial SSU rRNA
Rfam family: Bacterial small subunit ribosomal RNA
Source: RNAcentral
UAGGGUUUGAUUAUGGCUCAGAACGAACGCUGGCGGCAGGCCAAACACAUGCAAGUCGAGCGCUACCUUCGGGUGGAGCGGCGGACGGGUUAGUAACGCGUGGGAAUAUACCCAGUUCUAAGGAAUAGCCACUGGAAACGGUGAGUAAUACCUUAUACGCCCUUCGGGGGAAAGAUUUAUCGGAAUUGGAUUAGCCCGCGUUAGAUUAGACAGUUGGUGGGGUAAUGGCCUACCAAGUCUACGAUCUAUAGCUGGUUUGAGAGGAUGAUCAGCAGCACUGGGACUGAGACACGGCCCAGACUCCCACGGGAGGCAGCAGUGGGGAAUCUUAGACAAUGGGCGCAAGCCUGAUCUAGCCAUGCCGCGUGAGUGAUGAAGGCCCUAGGGUCGUAAAGCUCUUUCAACUGUGAAGAUAAUGACGGUAGUAGUAGAAGAAACCCCGGCUAACUCCGUGCCAGCAGCCGCGGUAAUACGGAGGGGGUUAGCGUUGUUCGGAAUUACUGGGCGUAAAGCGUACGUAGGCGGACUAAUAAGUUAGAGGUGAAAUCCCAGGGCUCAACCCUGGAACUGCCUUUAAAACUGUUAGUCUUGAGAUCGAGAGAGGUGAGUGGAAUUCCAAGUGUAGAGGUGAAAUUCGUAGAUAUUUGGAGGAACACCAGUGGCGAAGGCGGCUCACUGGCUCGAUACUGACGCUGAGGUACGAAAGUGUGGGGAGCAAACAGGAUUAGAUACCCUGGUAGUCCACACCGUAAACGAUGAAUGCCAGACGUCAGCAAGCAUGCUUGUUGGUGUCACACCUAACGGAUUAAGCAUUCCGCCUGGGGAGUACGGUCGCAAGAUCAAAACUCAAAGGAAUUGACGGGGGCCCGCACAAGCGGUGGAGCAUGUGGUUUAAUUCGACGCAACGCGCAGAACCUUACCAACCCUUGACAUACUUGUCGCGGAUUCCAGAGAUGGAUUCCUUCAGUUCGGCUGGACAAUGUACAGGUGCUGCAUGGCUGUCGUCAGCUCGUGUCGUGAGAUGUUCGGUUAAGUCCGGCAACGAGCGCAACCCACGUCCUUAGUUACCAGCAUUUAGUUGGGUACCCUAAGGAGACUGCCGGUGAUAAGCCGGAGGAAGGUGUGGACGACGUCAAGUCAUCAUGGCCCUUACGGGUUGGGCUACACACGUGCUACAAUGGCAUCUACAGUGAGUUAAUCUCCAAAAGAUGUCUCAGUUCGGAUUGGGGUCUGCAACUCGACCCCAUGAAGUUGGAAUCGCUAGUAAUCGCGGAACAGCAUGCCGCGGUGAAUACGUUCCCGGGCCUUGUACACACCGCCCGUCACACCGUGGGAAUUGGGUCUACCCGAAGGUGGUGCGCCAACUAUUUAUAGGGGCAGCCAACCACGGUAGGUUCAGUGACUGGGGUGAAGUCGUAACAAGGUAGCC